RNAcentral lists this ribosomal RNA (181 nucleotides) under Escherichia coli. RNAcentral describes it as "partial 16S ribosomal RNA". It matches the Rfam family "Bacterial small subunit ribosomal RNA", at positions 1 to 173 of the family's 1533-position model. Lineage: Bacteria; Pseudomonadati; Pseudomonadota; Gammaproteobacteria; Enterobacterales; Enterobacteriaceae. The record is from RNAcentral.
UUAAAUUGAAGAGUUUGAUCAUGGCUCAGAUUGAACGCUGGCGGCAGGCCUAACACAUGCAAGUCGAACGGUAACAGGAAGCAGCUUGCUGCUUUGCUGACGAGUGGCGGACGGGUGAGUAAUGUCUGGGAAACUGCCUGAUGGAGGGGGAUAACUACUGGAAGCGGUAGCUAAUACCGCA